AUACGGAGGAUGCGAGCGUUAUCCGGAUUUAUUGGGUUUAAAGGGAGCGUAGGUGGGAUAUUAAGUCAGCUGUGAAAGUUUGGGGCUCAACCUUAAAAUUGCAGUUGAUACUGGUUUCCUUGAGUACGGUACAGGUGGGCGGAAUUCGUGGUGUAGCGGUGAAAUGCUUAGAUAUCACGAAGAACUCCGAUCGCGAAGGCAGCUCACCGGGCCGGAACUGACACUGAUGCUCGAAAGUGCGGGUAUCAAACAGGAUUAGAUACCCUGGUAGUCCGCACAGUAAACGAUGAAUACUCGCUGUUUGCGAUACACUGUAAGCGGCCAAGCGAAAGCGUUAAGUAUUCCACCUGGGGAGUACGCCGGCAACGGUGAAACUCAAAUGAAUCGGCGGGG
RNAcentral lists this ribosomal RNA (393 nucleotides) under uncultured bacterium. RNAcentral describes it as "partial 16S ribosomal RNA". It matches the Rfam family "Bacterial small subunit ribosomal RNA", at positions 523 to 918 of the family's 1533-position model. The record is from RNAcentral.